CUUCUUGUGUCAUUUANAGGAAGUAAAAGUCGUAACAAGGUUUCCGUANGUGAACCUGC
Molecule: ribosomal RNA, 59 nt
Filed under: uncultured Sebacinales
Lineage: Eukaryota; Fungi; Basidiomycota; Agaricomycetes; Sebacinales
Description: partial 18S ribosomal RNA
Source: RNAcentral